This 158-nucleotide ribosomal RNA is filed under the name uncultured Ascomycota. Its description in RNAcentral is "5.8S ribosomal RNA". Lineage: Eukaryota; Fungi; Ascomycota. The record is from RNAcentral.
UCGGGCUUGACACCCAAACACUCGCAUAGAUGUUAGACUCCUUGGUCCGUGUUUCAAGACGGGCCGCUUACAGCCAUUACGCCAGCAUCCUAGCAGAUGCGCGGACCUCAGUCCAGGCUGGUGGUAUGACGUCUCCCCUAUAUGGCCAACCCGAAGGA